This 132-nucleotide ribosomal RNA is filed under the name uncultured Tetragenococcus sp. RNAcentral's name for it is "partial 16S ribosomal RNA". It matches the Rfam family "Bacterial small subunit ribosomal RNA", at positions 335 to 466 of the family's 1533-position model. The record is from RNAcentral. Lineage: Bacteria; Bacillati; Bacillota; Bacilli; Lactobacillales; Enterococcaceae.
ACUCCUACGGGAGGCAGCAGUAGGGAAUCUUCGGCAAUGGACGCAAGUCUGACCGAGCAACGCCGCGUGAGUGAAGAAGGUUUUCGGAUCGUAAAGCUCUGUUGUCAGCAAAGAACAGGAGAAAGAGGAAAU